GUGGUUGCGGCCCUUAAAAAAAAAAAAAAAAGUGAUUUAUUGCCUUUUAAAACAAUUUUUUAAAAAUCUUACCUAGUAAUUCCUUCUUCCCUGGGUCCCAAACACUCAAUUUAGCCUUUUAAGGGACAUAUAAGACAUACUAAAGGUAGGAGGAAGUUAAAUGGAUAUUUGAUUCAGAUACUAAUUUAAUGUUUAUUUUUUUCACAUUCUUCCCAGACGUUGUGUAGUCUUACCUGUGCCUGUGCUGUUGAUUCAGCUCUGAGCAUGGGAGCUGCGGGCUGGAUAUUUGUCACUUUCUGUGAAUAGCCUCUUUCCCCAGCAGGACUGUCACAGCUGCAUCACAGAAGCCAUGUGCCCUAGGCAGGGGCUCACUACAUGUUUGGCAAGGAUGACAAUGAUAAUACAAAGUGCUUGGGGCAGUGCUGACAGCCCAGCAUAAAUGAAGCUAAUGCCGCGCCCACCUCCUCCUUGCACCCGCGCUCCGGGCUCCCUGCUGGUCAGGCGAGAUCCCCUGGAGCGAUGCCCUUGGUGAGUGUCCUCCCCGGCUGCUGGCUGCGCACAUCGCCCCUGAGCCCUGAAACCUACACCCCAGGAACUGAAGAGACUGCCGAGGGUCGUCGUGUUCCCAGCACACAACAGUCUCUGGGGGAGCGGAGCUUUACCAGCUGACUCAUGCCACGUGGGAGAAGAAAGAAGAAGUGACACGUUGGCCGUUAUCUCAGAAACUACGGCGGAGACUCCCCCGUGGGAAGGCACAUGCGUCAUCGCCAAGAGCCUGUUUGAGCACCAGAGAAAGUUGGCCUAAUUCUGGUUAGCUCGGUGACAUCAAGACCUGCGUGUUCCCUAGGAAGCACGACGGGAGAAAGUAAAAGAAAGGAACUUCUUACAGAAUGGCCUUCCUCUCUGUAAAGAGGACUCAUUCUUCCACUCGAUACUCUGGGGGCGAAGAUUCCUGUGAUUAAAAACUCUGAGGUCAGAGCCACAGAAGCCAGGGCCUCAAAAGCCAGAGCCUCCCUUCCAUCAGCCCAGUUGAGAGCUGGCCCAGACCCACGAGGCCAUCAGUCCGUCUUGUACCCCAGCACCACGGACGGCCCUUGAUCGACUAGUUCAGUGAUGGAGAACCCCCCGCUGUGGACAGCUGUCUAUUUGACUUUCCAUCACUCACGAGUUGGUCCUUCUGGAACUUCGUCCGUGACAAGCAAGAGAAGGGCGUUUCUAAGGAACGGGAAAUCCGUUUGACCAAAGUUCCCCCAUUUUAUUCUCUUUUAUUCUCACGUUUGUGCGUGAAGGCUCCAGGUGACUCCAAGAUGCGUCCUGGUAUCUUUCUGACCGUGAGAUAAGAAGCUGGGACGUUAAUGCCUGAACAUCUGGGAUUGUGAGUACACCAAAGGCAGGGCCAGCUGCAAGCGUCCCUGUGAAAGUGAAAACAGCACUUUCGGAAAAAACAAGAGCUCUGGGUCCAAACGUCUGGAUGUUGGUCCCUGGUGUCCACUUUAUGACUGUGUUUUCAGGUACAUGAUUAACCUCUGUGUCUUGCAUUCUUUCUCCCAGAGCUCUUUAUUCUGAUUAUUAAAUAAUAUAGGUGAACAUCCUUUCCAAGCUCCAAAGCCCUCCUCGAAAUGCUGACUCUUACUGAUGUUGAUGAUCAACCGGAAGCUUGAAGAAAGGGAGACCAUCCCUGUCUUACCAGUAGCAGAGGGAACUUGUCCCGGAGAGACGAGGCCCUGGGGGCUCCAGAAACUUCCUUUGCUAGAUGGUGUUGGCUCUAUCUCCACGCUUGAAAAGAGGGAGCUUCUUCUAUCUCUAUCCCAGGUCUGCAGAAUUGCCGGUGUGCUGAUGAGACAGGACAGUCUAAGCCAGUGUGGGCCAGCUUGGCCUCUUUCCAUGAAGGGCUUGUCAUGCUCUGGUGCUUAAUUGCACCUGCUAAUGGACUCCCUGGAGAGUGACCAACAGCUUCACUGGAGGAGGGAGCAAGGGGCCGGCAGCAGCAGGCAGGCAGGUCAGGUCUGCCCGUUGGCAGGACUGUGCAGUCCCAGGCCAUUUCCCACUGGAACACCCUCUCAUCCCCCGGAAGCCCCUGACUCUCCAGCUUGCAGGAGCAGUGAAGGGGGAUGCUGGGCAGCAGGAAGCUCACUUAGCAGCCUGAAUUUAGAAGUAGAAGCCAACGGGCCAAGGCAGCCACAGCCCUGAGAAGGAAGUGGCAGCUGCGAAGCGGCCAAACCCAGAGUGGUACCCAGUCCUUCUGGUUCUAAGUCCCCAAGUUCUUCCCAUGGCAUCAGGGACCUCUACCUCUUCUCGAGAGGACACAUCUUAGAGCUUCACGUGGCACCUUCCCUCUUCCCCGACUCUGAGCGCUGUGAUGUCUCACCCAGGCUGAAGCAUGAUCACAUCACAAUGUAAGGCGCAAGAACACAAACCCUAAAACUAAAGUAAACGGACAGGUUGCAUAUCAUCAGCAGAAUACGGUAACUAAAGUUCCGCGUGUCUAGUGGAAUGGAAGAGGAGGUUUUGCAGAAAGUCGAUUGCUCUGGUGGGAUGACAGCCAUGGUUAAGGUUUUUUGGCACCUGUUGCCUUAAACUGCACACCAGCUGCUCUGUUGGAAUAACUGCAAACCCUUGGUGUGAUGGUAUCACAUGGCCUUCACCCAGAACGAACACCUUGUUUCCAUACUGCCUCUGCCUCCCUUCUUUGCUAGUUCGUUUAUGCCAAUUCAAGUGCAGCCGGGCAUUCCUAAGUGUCAAGGGAAGCCUCUAAGGGCAGGCCCCAGUUAUACGUGUCAUCAGGAGAUUCGGAAUAAGCUUAUACUUUAAACAAAAACAAUCUGGGGAAAAGCUCUCCAUGCAAAGCUUGUGGAUCCCCUAGAAUAGUCCACUGGUGGCCCUUUGGUCUGGGGCUUUGAGGAAGGAAAAACAAGCCCCCGGUGAGAGGGGCAGAUGGGGACUUUGCUCCACACUGCCCCCUCGUGGUGGGCUCUUCUCUACGCCUUGCCUAGCAUCUUCACCUGCCCAGUCUAUUUCUAGAGAGGAGGGUCCCUACCUGAAACGGAAAAGGAGAGAAAGGACAAUGACAGGGGAUGCUAGCAUGUUGGCUGAAUUGAGGGUCCUAGGCCACAGAAUAGGCAUGAGGACUGGGAUAACCUAGGUCAUGGUUAAGUCUGAGCUCUUUCUCGCCCAGGACCCCUCCUUCCUUGCUUCCCACAGCCACUGCUAAGGGUAGCAUGGUGCUGGUUGAAAAGUGGCACCAUGUCUGUUCUUGAGGAAGAGUCUGAGACCCUGGGAGGGGGAUGUGGUACCCCCUGGAGAAGGAGAUGGGAUGGAAGGGAAGUGACUCCAGAGGCAGAAACAGCAAGUGGUGCCAGCCUAGCAGCGGGGAGGGUGGCCUCCUGGCUUGCUCUGGCUCCUCUUGGGCCCCACUAGCCUACACCUCCCAGCUCUCUGGAGCAGGGUUUGGACCACGAGGCCAUCUGGAGCGCUCCGGGCUCUCCAGCCCUGUGUCUGUCCAUGUUAAAGCGUUGGCACCUGUCCGCUUCACUAUCCUGUCUCCUCUCGAGAGGUCAGGGUGCUCCCCAUUUGUGCAGCCCCAGCGAAAAUGCCCUGGAAUCACACAGACCAACACUCAGAUCCCAGUUCUGUCAUUUACCGAUCGAGCCAAACUUCUCAAGGCCCAUGAGCCUCAGUUCUCUCACCUGUCAAAUGGGAAUGAUGGUGCCAUUCGCUCAGUCCUGUAUGAGAACUUAACAGGAUAAUGUCUCUUGGACUCACAGCUCCGUGCCUGGCACAUGUGAUGCUUGGUGACUUAAGGCCCCUAUACCCUCCCAGCUGUGAGAUGAAUACUUUUGAAGCCCUCAUGGAUGUUUAGAAGCUCUGACUCCAGCGCUAAGCCCUUGUAGCCUUGGCCACACUGGUGGCUCCAUGACCUGACCACUGUGGUCAUCCACUGGCUGUACCAUUGGGGUCACUGAAGAUGCUGUCACUCAUCCCCAAACAAGGACAAGCCUGGGUUUUGUACCAUGAUUUUCAUUGUUCUCCCCAAAGGACGUUCCCACGCCAUGAGUUUCUUGUGCAAGCAUCCUUUUUGGCCCCUCCUGGGUAUGUGUUGUGCUCUGGCCUGGAGUUGUGGUGAAGCCAAAAGCUAUUCUGAGAUUUUCUGUAGUCUCAACAGCUAUUUCAGGCUGCAGCUUGGAUAUGGGGAGAGAACCCAGCACUCUCUUUCUGUGUCUUGGCCACAAAUUCCAAGACUGGUCCUUUUGUGUUCCCGACACCCUCAGACCUGGACGUGGUGACUGGAACCGGCUUGGAUGGAGCAAGGUUGUGUGUGCAUGUGCCACCCAGCCUGCAGCCGGAGGGAGAGGGUUCUGGAAGGGUUAGAUCUGGGGGUUGAGACUGAGUGGAGGAGAGGCAGCCAGGGUGACAUUCCUGCCCAAGAACUGCAGGCUUCUGGAGGGGAGGGAGCCCGCUGUGAGGGGCAGCGGCAUCCAGUCCUGUUCCUCUGACUUCUCAGUUUGUCUGCCUCCUCCUGGGUGAGCAUUGGUCUAUCUGUGUCAUCAAUAUUACUGUGUGUCUGCUAUAGGCCAGGCCAGACUCCUGAGGUGCAGUCAUGGAUGAAACAGACAAGAUCUUUGCUUUCGUGGAGCUCCCGUGUAACAGGAACUAUAAUAACUCAUUUGCGUUGGCCUUUAUGGUUUGCAAAGCACUUUUCUAUACCUUCAUAGAAAAUUCUAUUGAGGAGUUCCCUGGUGGCCUAGCAGUUAAGGACCUGAUGCUGCUGCCACCAUGGCUCGGGUCAGUUGAUCCCUGGACGGGGAACUUUUGCAUGCUGUGGGUACAGCAGAAAAAAAAAAAAAAAGGAAAAUUCUAUUGCAUGCUCUGUGCUAA
Sus scrofa (pig) is the source of this 4875-nucleotide non-coding RNA. Lineage: Eukaryota; Metazoa; Chordata; Mammalia; Artiodactyla; Suidae. The record is from RefSeq and is a predicted model, not a curated record.